RNAcentral lists this small nuclear RNA (24 nucleotides) under Arabidopsis thaliana (thale cress). Its description in RNAcentral is "snRNA_01959". The record is from RNAcentral. Lineage: Eukaryota; Viridiplantae; Streptophyta; Magnoliopsida; Brassicales; Brassicaceae.
ACUUUAUGACUCCAUAACUUUUAG